Molecule: ribosomal RNA, 495 nt
Filed under: Heteromurus nitidus
Lineage: Eukaryota; Metazoa; Arthropoda; Collembola; Entomobryomorpha; Entomobryidae
Also listed under: 1 other name
Description: partial 16S ribosomal RNA
Rfam family: Bacterial large subunit ribosomal RNA
Source: RNAcentral
UUCUUUUUUGUUUAUUAAAAAGUAAAGCCUGCCCACUGAUUAUUUAAAGGGCCGCAGUAUAUUGACUGUGCUAAGGUAGCGUAAUCAUUAGUCUCUUAAUUAGGGAAUAGAAUGAACGGUUUAACAAUUAAUUAUUUUUAUCUCUAAUCAAUUCGAAUUUAAAUUUUAGGUGAAAAUGCUUAAAAUAUUUUAGUAGACGAUAAGACCCUAUAGAGGUUAGUUUAAGCUGUCUAAUAAAUAAUUUGGGGGAGUUAUUUAUUGGCGGUUUAAGCUUAGUUGGGGCAACUAAAGAAUAAAUUUAACUUCUUGAUAUAAAUAUAAUAUACUAUUUAAAAUCUUAAAUAAUUUAAAAAGGAAAAAGUUACCUUAGGGAUAACAGCGUAAUAUUUUUUGAGAGAACAAAUCGAUAUAAUUGUUUGCGACCUCGAUGUUGAAUUAAAAUACCUUCUAGGAGCAGAAUUUUAGGAAGGAAGUCUGUUCGACUAUUAAAUUUUU